RNAcentral lists this transfer RNA (72 nucleotides) under Camelus bactrianus (Bactrian camel). It matches the Rfam family "tRNA". From Rfam's summary of the family: Transfer RNA (tRNA) molecules are approximately 80 nucleotides in length. Their secondary structure includes four short double-helical elements and three loops (D, anti-codon, and T loops). RNAcentral also lists the same sequence under 3 other names. The record is from Rfam by way of RNAcentral. Lineage: Eukaryota; Metazoa; Chordata; Mammalia; Artiodactyla; Camelidae.
GAGGGUAGAGCUCAGUGGUAGAGUGGGUGCUUAGCAUACUUGAGGUCCUGGGUUCAAUCCCCAGUACCCCCG